GGAGCAUGCGCACUGGCAGGCCCUCGCUCAGCCUUUGGAGACCAUGCGCAGGCGCGGUGCACUGUGCGCGGGCACCACGGCGGUUUUUCGACGCUGGCGGUGGACGCAGGCAGCAUGGACCACGGUUGCUGGGCGGAUGGGGAGCGUCUAUGGUCAGUUGCCUUAGAAGUGGUGAGAUGGGAAGCUGCAGUUGGAAGACCCUGGAGGAUGCCUGACAAGGGGAUGUCUGACACAUGAUUGGAGCUCUUUUUGAAAUGUUUCUUGCCCUUCCUGGAGCAGAGGAGCCAUUAUUUAUGCAGGCUCCCUUCUCAAAGCAGAGCCCUGAAGACUUCAAUGAUGUCAAUGAGGCCACCUGUUUGUGAUGUGCAGGCACAGAAGAAAGGCACAGCUCCCCAUCAGUUUCAUGGAAAAUAACUCAGUGCCUGCUGGGAACCAGCUGCUGGAGAUCCCUACAGAGAGCUUCCACUGGGGGCAACCCUUCCAGGAAGGAGUUGGGGAGAGAGAACCCUCACUGUGGGGAAUGCUGAUAAACCAGUCACACAGCUGCUCUAUUCUCACACAAAUCUACCCCUUGCGUGGCUGGAACUGACGUUUCCCUGGAGGUGUCCAGAAAGCUGAUGUAACACAGAGCCUAUAAAAGCUGUCGGUCCUUAAGGCUGCCCAGCGCCUUGCCAAAAUGGAGCUUGUAAGAAGGCUCAUGCCAUUGACCCUCUUAAUUCUCUCCUGUUUGGCGGAGCUGACAAUGGCGGAGGCUGAAGGCAAUGCAAGCUGCACAGUCAGUCUAGGGGGUGCCAAUAUGGCAGAGACCCACAAAGCCAUGAUCCUGCAACUCAAUCCCAGUGAGAACUGCACCUGGACAAUAGAAAGACCAGAAAACAAAAGCAUCAGAAUUAUCUUUUCCUAUGUCCAGCUUGAUCCAGAUGGAAGCUGUGAAAGUGAAAACAUUAAAGUCUUUGACGGAACCUCCAGCAAUGGGCCUCUGCUAGGGCAAGUCUGCAGUAAAAACGACUAUGUUCCUGUAUUUGAAUCAUCAUCCAGUACAUUGACGUUUCAAAUAGUUACUGACUCAGCAAGAAUUCAAAGAACUGUCUUUGUCUUCUACUACUUCUUCUCUCCUAACAUCUCUAUUCCAAACUGUGGCGGUUACCUGGAUACCUUGGAAGGAUCCUUCACCAGCCCCAAUUACCCAAAGCCGCAUCCUGAGCUGGCUUAUUGUGUGUGGCACAUACAAGUGGAGAAAGAUUACAAGAUAAAACUAAACUUCAAAGAGAUUUUCCUAGAAAUAGACAAACAGUGCAAAUUUGAUUUUCUUGCCAUCUAUGAUGGCCCCUCCACCAACUCUGGCCUGAUUGGACAAGUCUGUGGCCGUGUGACUCCCACCUUCGAAUCGUCAUCAAACUCUCUGACUGUCGUGUUGUCUACAGAUUAUGCCAAUUCUUACCGGGGAUUUUCUGCUUCCUACACCUCAAUUUAUGCAGAAAACAUCAACACUACAUCUUUAACUUGCUCUUCUGACAGGAUGAGAGUUAUUAUAAGCAAAUCCUACCUAGAGGCUUUUAACUCUAAUGGGAAUAACUUGCAACUAAAAGACCCAACUUGCAGACCAAAAUUAUCAAAUGUUGUGGAAUUUUCUGUCCCUCUUAAUGGAUGUGGUACAAUCAGAAAGGUAGAAGAUCAGUCAAUUACUUACACCAAUAUAAUCACCUUUUCUGCAUCCUCAACUUCUGAAGUGAUCACCCGUCAGAAACAACUCCAGAUUAUUGUGAAGUGUGAAAUGGGACAUAAUUCUACAGUGGAGAUAAUAUACAUAACAGAAGAUGAUGUAAUACAAAGUCAAAAUGCACUGGGCAAAUAUAACACCAGCAUGGCUCUUUUUGAAUCCAAUUCAUUUGAAAAGACUAUACUUGAAUCACCAUAUUAUGUGGAUUUGAACCAAACUCUUUUUGUUCAAGUUAGUCUGCACACCUCAGAUCCAAAUUUGGUGGUGUUUCUUGAUACCUGUAGAGCCUCUCCCACCUCUGACUUUGCAUCUCCAACCUACGACCUAAUCAAGAGUGGAUGUAGUCGAGAUGAAACUUGUAAGGUGUAUCCCUUAUUUGGACACUAUGGGAGAUUCCAGUUUAAUGCCUUUAAAUUCUUGAGAAGUAUGAGCUCUGUGUAUCUGCAGUGUAAAGUUUUGAUAUGUGAUAGCAGUGACCACCAGUCUCGCUGCAAUCAAGGUUGUGUCUCCAGAAGCAAACGAGACAUUUCUUCAUAUAAAUGGAAAACAGAUUCCAUCAUAGGACCCAUUCGUCUGAAAAGGGAUCGAAGUGCAAGUGGCAAUUCAGGAUUUCAGCAUGAAACACAUGCGGAAGAAACUCCAAACCAGCCUUUCAACAGUGUGCAUCUGUUUUCCUUCAUGGUUCUAGCUCUGAAUGUGGUGACUGUAGCGACAAUCACAGUGAGGCAUUUUGUAAAUCAACGGGCAGACUACAAAUACCAGAAGCUGCAGAACUAUUAACUAACAGGUCCAACCCUAAGUGAGACAUGUUUCUCCAGGAUGCCAAAGGAAAUGCUACCUCGUGGCUACACAUAUUAUGAAUAAAUGAGGAAGGGCCUGAAAGUGACACACAGGCCUGCAUGU
Homo sapiens (human) is the source of this 2623-nucleotide long non-coding RNA. RefSeq annotates it as FAM24B-CUZD1 readthrough. The record is from RefSeq and is marked validated. The transcript is spliced from 11 exons. NCBI's taxonomy places the organism in Eukaryota, Metazoa, Chordata, Mammalia, Primates, Hominidae. The annotation marks the transcript as partial.